Erigeron canadensis is the source of this 269-nucleotide long non-coding RNA. RefSeq lists it as uncharacterized. The transcript has 2 exons. NCBI's taxonomy places the organism in Eukaryota, Viridiplantae, Streptophyta, Magnoliopsida, Asterales, Asteraceae. The record is from RefSeq and is a predicted model, not a curated record.
GUCACAUUAAAGCUUGUGGGAAUGCAAGGAUAUGGUGAAAAGACGAGGCCCCAAGGACACGGAUUAUUAACCAUCCACUAAACAGGUAAAGCGACGCACACAAAGUCACAAAUGACAAACAUAACCGAGACUCUGAAAUUGCUGAACUGACAAGAUCGUUGGAACGAGCCUUAGAAAGUAGUAAUAUCGGCUGAUAGCCACAUGUUUGAUGCAAAUUUAAUCCAAACUUUGUAUCAUUUGAAUAUACUUUGUGCAACAUUCAAUUUGUU